This 72-nucleotide transfer RNA is filed under the name Loxodonta africana (African savanna elephant). It matches the Rfam family "tRNA". From Rfam's summary of the family: Transfer RNA (tRNA) molecules are approximately 80 nucleotides in length. The record is from Rfam by way of RNAcentral. Lineage: Eukaryota; Metazoa; Chordata; Mammalia; Proboscidea; Elephantidae.
GUCCUUGUGGCACGAUGGUUAAGCUCUCAGCUGCUAACUGAAAGGUUGGUGGUUCAAACCCACCCAGCAGCU